GCGCGAAAACUUUACAAUGCCGGCAACAGCGAUAAGGGAACCUCGAGUGCCAGGUUACAAAUCUGGCUGUCGAGAUGCCUAAAAAGCAUUUCAUAGCAAGGGCCGGGCAAGACCGGUGCCAGCCGCCGCGGUAACACCGGCGGCUCGAGUGGUAACCGUUAUUAUUGGGUCUAAAGGGUCUGUAGCCGGCCGGAUAAGUCUCUUGAGAAAUCUGGCAGCUUAACUGUCAGGCUUUCAGGAGAUACUGUCUGGCUCGAGGCCGGGAGAGGUGAGAGGUACUUCAGGGGUAGGGGUGAAAUCUUGUAAUCCUUGAAGGACCACCAGUGGCGAAGGCGUCUCACCAGAACGGACCUGACGACAAGGGACGAAAGCUAGGGGCACGAACC
This 386-nucleotide ribosomal RNA is filed under the name uncultured bacterium. RNAcentral describes it as "bacterial SSU rRNA". It matches the Rfam family "Archaeal small subunit ribosomal RNA", at positions 339 to 725 of the family's 1478-position model. The record is from RNAcentral.